UCUACUUCUCAGCAUAAUGAGAUUUCUUCUACUGAGAGUUAGGAAGUUUUCAAAGCCAAGUAUUGGGACAGAAUUGGUUAUCAACACAAAAAACAAAGCCAAUCAUGAGAAGCUUUAAAGUUAUGUGAUGGAAGAAUUGAGAUCAUACCAUGCACGCUUUCAGA
This is a long non-coding RNA of Hyaena hyaena (striped hyena), 164 nucleotides long. RefSeq lists it as uncharacterized. NCBI's taxonomy places the organism in Eukaryota, Metazoa, Chordata, Mammalia, Carnivora, Hyaenidae. The transcript has 3 exons. The record is from RefSeq and is a predicted model, not a curated record.